GAUGAACGCUAGCGGCAGGCCUAACACAUGCAAGUCGAGGGGCAGCAUAAAUAAAGCUUGCUUUAUUGGUGGCGACCGGCGCACGGGUGAGUAACGCGUAUGCAACCUACCCUGUACUGGGGGAUAACCCGGAGAAAUUCGGACUAAUACCCCAUAAUGUUAAUUGAUGGCAUCAUUGAUUGAUUAAAGGUUACGGUACAGGAUGGGCAUGCGUUCCAUUAGCUAGUUGGUAUGGUAACGGCAUACCAAGGCGACGAUGGAUAGGGGGCCUGAGAGGGUGAUCCCCCANACUGGUACUGAGACACGGACCAGACUCCUACGGGAGGCAGCAGUGAGGAAUAUUGGUCAAUGGAGGCAACUCUGAACCGGCCAUGCCGCGUGCAGGAAGACGGUCCUAUGGAUUGUAAACUGCUUUUAUUAGGAAUAAACCCCCGGUCGUGCACCGGGGCUGAAUGUACUAAAAGAAUAAGCACCGGCUAACUCCGUGCCAGCAGCCGCGGUAAAGUA
Molecule: ribosomal RNA, 507 nt
Filed under: uncultured bacterium
Lineage: Bacteria
Description: bacterial SSU rRNA
Rfam family: Bacterial small subunit ribosomal RNA
Source: RNAcentral